This 483-nucleotide ribosomal RNA is filed under the name uncultured bacterium. RNAcentral's name for it is "partial 16S ribosomal RNA". It matches the Rfam family "Bacterial small subunit ribosomal RNA", at positions 30 to 507 of the family's 1533-position model. The record is from RNAcentral.
UUGAACGCUGGCGGCAGGCCUAACACAUGCCAGUCGAGCGGAUGAAGGGAGCUUGCUCCUGGAUUCAGCGGCGGACGGGUGAGUAAUGCCUAGGAAUCUGCCUGGUAGUGGGGGAUAACGUCCGGAAACGGGCGCUAAUACCGCAUACGUCCUGAGGGAGAAAGUGGGGGAUCUUCGGACCUCACGCUAUCAGAUGAGCCUAGGUCGGAUUAGCUAGUUGGUGGGGUAAAGGCCUACCAAGGCGACGAUCCGUAACUGGUCUGAGAGGAUGAUCAGUCACACUGGAACUGAGACACGGUCCAGACGCCUACGGGAGGCAGCAGUGGGGAAUAUUGGACAAUGGGCGAAAGCCUGAUCCAGCCAGGCCGCGUGUGUGAAGAAGGUCUUCGGAUUGUAAAGCACGUUAAGUUGGGAGGAAGGGCAGUAAGUUAAUACCUUGCUGUUUUGACGUUACCAACAGAAUAAGCACCGGCUAACUUCGUG